GACAACAUUUUGAGAAGGAAUUUGAGAACCUGAGGAACAUAGAUCACAUUCUCAGGGACAUAAAGAGCCAAUUGGAUAACACAGGUUCAGAACUGUUGCCAAGUCACCCUAUCAUGGAGGAAGAUUUACAUGUGACAAAACCUUUUCCUCAUGACCUUGGCAAUAUUGUGAACAUAGAAAUGGUCGAUGACAAUGUGAAUGCAGCAGAUGUCAACAAUAUUUCAUUAUAUUUUAAGAAAACUGUUGAGGGGUUCCAGUCGCAAAAUGCAAUUCUCAUGGAUAAUUUUGAAGGUUUCUCUGCUUUCAUAGGCGAGUUUAUUGAAGCUCUAUUGGGAAAGCUAAGGGCAACUGGAGUUGCAGUGACUAUUAUUUUUGAGCACAUGGAGUCUAUGAAACAGAAAAUGAAGAAUAUGGAAAUGCAUAACGAGGAAC
This 432-nucleotide unclassified non-coding RNA is filed under the name Hevea brasiliensis (rubber tree). The record is from RNAcentral. Lineage: Eukaryota; Viridiplantae; Streptophyta; Magnoliopsida; Malpighiales; Euphorbiaceae.